This 586-nucleotide ribosomal RNA is filed under the name uncultured bacterium. RNAcentral's name for it is "partial 16S ribosomal RNA". It matches the Rfam family "Bacterial small subunit ribosomal RNA", at positions 355 to 1376 of the family's 1533-position model. The record is from RNAcentral.
UGGGGAAUUUUGGACAAUGGGGGAAACCCUGAUCCAGCCAUCCCGCGUGUGCGAUGAAGGCCUUCGGGUUGUAAAGCACUUUUGGCAGGAAAGAAACGUCGCGGGUUAAUACCCCGCGAAACUGACGGUACCUGCAGAAUAAGCACCGGCUAACUACGUGCCAGCAGCCGCGGUAAUACGUAGGGUGCAAGCGUUAAUCGGAAUUACUGGGCGUAAAGCGUGCGCAGGCGGUUCGGAAAGAAAGAUGUGAAAUCCCAGAGCUUAACUUUGGAACUGCAUUUUUAACUACCGGGCUAGAGUGUGUCAGAGGGAGGUGGAAUUCCGCGUGUAGCAGUGAAAUGCGUAGAUAUGCGGAGGAAUACCGAUGGCGAAGGCAGCCUCCUGGGAUAACACUGACGCUCAUGCACGAAAGCGUGGGGAGCAAACAGGAUUAGAUACCCUGGUAGUCCACGCCCUAAACGAUGUCAACUAGCUGUUGGGGCCUUCGGGCCUUGGUAGCGCAGCUAACGCGUGAAGUUGACCGCCUGGGGAGUACGGUCGCAAGAUUAAAACUCAAAGGAAUUGACGGGGUCAUAGCUGUUUCCUG